This 273-nucleotide long non-coding RNA is filed under the name Serinus canaria (Common canary). RNAcentral describes it as "lncRNA (ENSSCAG00000014091.1)". The record is from RNAcentral. Lineage: Eukaryota; Metazoa; Chordata; Aves; Passeriformes; Fringillidae.
UGGGGCCUCAGGGACAGCAGGGCCAGCCUGGGCCACCUGGACCACCUGGACCACCAGGACCAAGGGUAAAUUCUGUAACAGCCCUAGCCUACCUAACCAGUGCUUUAUUGAAAGGGAAAAUAACAGGAUCCUCUUCAAAUGUACUCCCUGUUCCACUGUACAAAGAAUUUACCACCUGCACUUUUGUAUAUUCUUGUUAAUCUUUUUAUAUUCUGAAAUACCUAUUUUUUUAGAAACAAGUGGAUCUCAAUGCUGCUGUUCAAGCUUUGUUUG